CUAAAAGACUAGUACUACUGAUUCUCCUAGCUAGGCGCAUUCUGCUCAGCAGACGCCUAGAACAGCAAGUAGCCACAGCCCACGGGCGGGGCGCUGCCGUGGAGGAAAGCUCGCUCCGACCCCAUGCUGCGCGGCGUCGUCCUCGCCGGCCGCCGCGCGCUGCACCCGCGCCGGCUGCAGCUGGCCAGCAGCAAGGCCACCUCCACCACCACCCCGCGCAGCGGCUCGACGCCCGGCUACAGCUUGCUCUUGCUUCUUCUGCUGUUACUCUGCUGCGUUCAGGCGAGCGCCUACGACCCGCUCGAUCCGAGCGGAAACAUCACCGUUAGCUGGGACUUCCUCGACAUCAAGGACAUUUACUCGGUCUCGGUUAGUCUCCAGAACUACCAGCUCUACCGCCACCUCGAGGAUCCAGGGUGGCGGCUGAGCUGGUUUUGGGCUGGCGAUGAGGUGAUCUUGGACGCGAAGGGCGCGGAGGCGACCGAGCAGGGAAACUGCACUCGCUUCGUCGGCGCUCACAGCUGCAAGAAGCGGCCUGUAAUGAUGGACCUGGGCCCCGGCACGCCGUACAACCUUCAGGUCGCCAACUGCUGCCGGGGCGGUGUCCUGUCUUCACUCGUGCAGAACAGCAAGGCGGCCACAUCGACGUUCAUGAUGACCGUCGGCAACUUUGCUCCUUCCAGCGACGUCGGCCCCCAGAUGCCAUUCAAUUUCAGCAUUGGGGUGCCAGGUUACACUUGCAGCAAUGCCACAGUGGUGCCCCCAUCCAGGACCCAGAUUGACAAGCAGCGGCACAUCCAGGCCUUGAUCGGAGAUCCUACUGAGGAAGGACCAGGACUUCACCUUUGAUGCAGGUUGGGCGUUCCCGAGGAAGAUGUACUUUGACGGCGGUGAGUGCGCGAUGCCACCACCUGACGACUACCCACCGCUGCCCAGCGCCAGCUGCGAUCAGCUCCUCUCGGCAGUGCUGAGGUCACUGCUUGCGGGCCUCGUCUUGUUGUUUCUCCUGUUCUAGGGGAGGAGGAGGUCGGAGAAGGAAGAAGUUAUCAAGCCGUGGGACUCGGUCAGCCUUGCACAAAGAGAGGAUCAUGCUACUGGAGUUGUCAAGUAUUGAUGAAUGCUUAGACUAGUGUCCCAGAACUGCUCUGAGGGGCACAGCCGGGAUGGAUAGCUGCUUCGCAGUGUUACUAGCUUGGUGAUUGGUGUUAUAUAGUUGUCCAAGGCGCUGUUCGUGUUAACCUUUCCAAAUGCACUUAUUAGUUUACUAUAUAUUCCUCCAAAGUUGGUGCCGCUCCUUCUGAGUGUUGCUGUAGACCAACAACCUGUUUAGACAUCUUUGCGUGUGUUUGUUUCACUCUGUAACACCAAGCUGUCACAUAAGCUUCAGUCAGUUCCGUUAUA
Triticum aestivum (bread wheat) is the source of this 1401-nucleotide RNA transcript. It is a transcript of the gene named COBRA-like protein 7, with no coding region annotated. The record is from RefSeq and is a predicted model, not a curated record. The transcript is spliced from 5 exons. Lineage: Eukaryota; Viridiplantae; Streptophyta; Magnoliopsida; Poales; Poaceae.